This is a non-coding RNA of Sus scrofa (pig), 764 nucleotides long. The record is from RefSeq and is a predicted model, not a curated record. NCBI's taxonomy places the organism in Eukaryota, Metazoa, Chordata, Mammalia, Artiodactyla, Suidae.
CAGUCACCAAAAAUUGAGACGCCUGGAUGGGGGCUGGGCACCGAAUCCUCGGCUCCAGAGGUCCUCUGUCUCUUUUCUCUGCAUUCCAGCCUUUGUCACCCCAGUUGAGUCCAUAACAUGGAGGUGUGCUCAUCAUCAGCAUCGGAAGCUGUCCCCCCAAAUGUUUUUCUUAAACGCAUGAACAGGGAGCGUUUUGGUGUCUGGAAGGAAAAGUACAGUCCCUGAGACCAAAUCCAUCAUGGUAAGUAUCAUAAAAGGAUGGAGAGAGGAGGUGGUAAAGACUUACAAGGAAGAGUCUGUGGGUGACAAAAAGAGAGGAAAACAUAAAGAUGUGAAAGAGGAAACAGAUUACCUUAUGACCCUGACAGUUGUGGUCAGAAUUCUCAUUAUCUGCCAUGUAGUGUUCUGUGUCCAGGGGCAGCCACCAGGUUGGGGAGGCCAUGGGAAAGGAAAGGGGUGAUUUAGAAUCAAGAUGGAACCUCAGGACCAUGAUGCUGCAGGGAGCUCAGUCUCGGGCCCCUUUCUGUCCUCGCCUCCAUGGACCUCCCAGGGCCUCAGCUGGUUCACAUCUACAGUGGAGAAGGUCUCUGAUCCCCAAGAUCCUGCUGCAGCCCUCUGCUUCCCUCAAUGUGACUUGGAAUAAGACCUGUGUCUUCCUGCCUCACACACAGGCUGCCUCUGUCCCCAUGCACCUCAGGGCACACCCUGGCCUUCCUCCAGCACCCCAGCUUCCGACUCCCUCCUUCCUCAUUUCUCUCCUCUAA